Oxyura jamaicensis (ruddy duck) is the source of this 2541-nucleotide long non-coding RNA. RefSeq lists it as uncharacterized. The record is from RefSeq and is a predicted model, not a curated record. The transcript has 4 exons. NCBI's taxonomy places the organism in Eukaryota, Metazoa, Chordata, Aves, Anseriformes, Anatidae.
GAACCAAACCCAGGGUCCUGCUCCCGAAGGCUUUGUCGGCUGCAGACUUAACCCCGCUAUGACAGGUGGGGAAACUGAGGCAAGGGACCCUGCUCGUGCCUGGUUGGAGGCUCAGCCUCCAGGAGAGGAAUCCAGGCUCCCCAUCCAGCAAACCAGGGCAGGAGGUGGAGGAAACCUGCUGAGAGCAACCACUUCUGAGCCCCAGUGCUGACAUCCCUUUCAGGCAAAGAUUUCCACGUGAGCAAGCCGCAGGUACCUCAGCACAGGCUCUGAACCGUGCACGAAGCCUCUGGGAAACACGCCACGUGCACGAGCAACGUCCCCACGGCUCCUUCCCGGGGCUGCUGCAGCGCGUCGGGGCGCUUGUGCCGGGACAAGGACGCCCGGCUCAUCUCUGCAGGGCGUGAGGUGGACGUGGCAGGCGACAGGCCUGUCAAAGCACUUGGGAUUAGAGGCUGUCACAGCCGGCACAGCCAGGUCUUUAUUCCAGGCAGCCGCUCGCAGCGCCGGGGAGCCGGUGCUGGCACACUGCUGGGCUGUCCCUGCUCACAGCCCGGCUCCCCGCGGGAGGGCAGGGCCCUUCCUUGAUCUCAGCCCCCUCACCCGUCAGAAACCAAGCUUUAUCAGCUCACAUCUCACUGGGUGACUUGUUUCCUUUUCCUCUUGCCACCAGCAAGUCCGAUAAUCCUCCGGCAUCUGAAGCACGGUGUGAUUUCCCAGGCAGUGUUUGGGCUGGUUCGUAAGGUCCUGGUGGAGCCCGGAGGAACAGGCUGGUGUGAGACCCACCAAGAGCUCUGAAAGCCCAGAGACCAUCCUCAGCCACUUGCCGAGACUGUAGGAGGUGAUCCACCUCCAGCUGCUCCACAGAAGAAAAGUCUCUUUUUAAAAGUAAUCUGACUUUGCCCAUCCCAGCUUUUCGGAGCUAUUGUGGCACCUCAGCCAGAUUUCUGCAGAGAUUUGUCAUCAGGAGCUGGGUUCCCUUGGCUGGAUUCUUCUCGCAAUUCGUCAUCGCGAGUAUCAUUUACCCUCUGAACUCACGUUUUGCUUUUAAUCAGUCUUUACCAUUCAGGCAUGCUGCAAACGGCUCCCUCGACGGCCAAGCAUUAUCCUUCUUAAUGAGCAGGACUUGGGGGGCACGGGGGGAGCAGAGCAGCCCAUUUCUCUUCAUCACCACCAACAGAUCAGAGCAAAUCAGUUUUGCAACAACUUUAAUAAAUUGAUUCAAUUUGGCAAACCAAGAAAAAAAAAAAAGAGAGGGAGAUUAAAAAGUAAAGGAGGAAAUAAUGUGAGAUGCUUCCAGCAAUUGUGGUGGAUGGUAAAUCUCUUCUUUAUUGCUCCUUUAUUAUUUCCAGAAUCUGAAGUUUAAAUAAUUAAGCAGAAUAAAUGGUGGAUGAAUAUUAUUUUCAAGUUUUAUUUAUUGAUUCUCAGAGGACAGAUGUGCACAGAGACCCAGGCAUAGAGGAAGCUAAUUUCUCCAGUGGUGUAAAUCAGCACAGCAUCAUUAACACGAAUGUCAUUUAAAGGAGAUUUACACAAGCUGAGAAUCCAGCCUCCUCAUUUUGGGAGGAAAAUAUGGAAAACUACGUAGGUUUUAAUAUUUUUUGUUCUGUCUUCUGUGCAAUUCAUUUAUUUUCCAAUUUAAAAGCACAUCAGGUAUAUUUUUUUGUGUAAUUUAAAUACAUUUCUUGACAGAGCUGCUCACUCUGAAAGUCUUGGGAGCUUGAAAUUGGCCAACUCUGCAUGCCUGCAGGUUUGCUCUCGUGGCAUCUCUGAGGCCGGGUGACCGCUGCUCCCGUGGGCAGCUCCUGUCUUCGCAGGAAAGCUCCAGCACUGGGAUAUUUUUUGGCAUGCAGAGGAGAACGAGGUGGCGGCGGUGGCUCCUGCAGCAAAAGCAAGACAGGCCUCAGAGAAGCAGAGGAAUGCCACCUGGUGUUAACAGCGGGGCCAAUUAAGGAGACCAGGAAUUAAGGAAAUCCAACACCGGUAAGGAGAUUAACCCAAAGGAAAUGCAACGCUAUAUGAAAUUUCAGCUACAUGGGGAGUGACGUGUGGGUGAAACUGCCCUGUGAGCAGAUAAAGAGGUGGGUCCCUUGGUUACCUGACCUUGUCUGCCCGUUAAUACCAAUUAGGGCACGUCAUCCGUGCUGCUCUACCCGAUGAUUAUGUGCACUGGGGUUGGAGGUACUGGCAUUUCUCAGGAGCCCCUAAUUCAGCUGCACUGGCUGCCUCUGGGCUAAUUUAAAUCGUGCAAAGACAUCUCAAAAAGGUGUCGUGAGAAGGAAUUUCUGGUACUUGUGAGAGUCCUAAAAUGCAAAUGUGGGUAACACGGGGGUGGGUGAGUGACUCCAACUUUUAUGGCUUUGUUCAGCACUGAUGAGCUUGGAUGUGGCUGCAGGAAAUUGUUUCGUUCCAGCAAGAAGGGAAGAGUCUCAGGCACUGGGAGCUUGGCUUGGGUCCCUUCUUAUCAAUUACCAGGCUGGAAAUGAAAAGCCUGGCUGUGAUUUGUAGUGAUUGCAAGACAUCAGAAAAGCUGUUGACAUC